Molecule: long non-coding RNA, 3187 nt
Organism: Canis lupus familiaris (dog)
Lineage: Eukaryota; Metazoa; Chordata; Mammalia; Carnivora; Canidae
Exons: 2
Source: RefSeq, a predicted model, not a curated record
GGCAUGAAGCAGGAGGGCAGAGUGAAGAGGCCUCUUGAGCGUCGUCCCAGGGGCCUCGAGCGGAGGCGGCCCUUGGGCCUCACCUGGAGCCCAGCCUGGGGGAGGCAGAGGCCACCCACUGAGGACGCGCUUCCCGCCGCAGGCGCCCGGCAGCCCUGCUGUCCCCAUGGCAGGAACGGGGAGCCUGACGCCGCCUAGUGUCCCAUCGGGGCUGCGGGCAGGGGACCCUGGGCUGGCGGGUGGGGGCUUGCGGCGCUGCCACCCCCGGUGCGCCCUGGCCUUCGCUGACGGUCCCGUGAGUGUUUCCCCAACGGAACCGGACACGCGGACGGACACGUGCAGGCGAAGCUGUCGCAUGGCAGGCGGGUCGCACAGAAGUCGGCAGGGACGGGGCCGUCCCACUGCCCUUCGAAUCCUCUUACUGAAAAGCCCAAAUAGCAGAAGUUUUCCUAAUGAAACAGUUGAAACGUGCUCACAGGUCGAGGUUCCUGCCGCAGUCUGGGGGGAGCAGGACGGUGGACCCACAGGCCGUCGCACUUCAUUCCCCAGGUGCUGCUUCUCGCAAAGACUCAGCUUCCUGCGUCCUUUCCAUGUGCCUCCUGCCGGGCUCCCCCCGCCCCCACUGUCCUGGGGCCUUGCGGCCUGGCCCUAUCUGGUCCUGAGCCAACAUGCUCCCCGCAAGACUCUGCGCCUCACGCCCCACCCCACGGCCCAGCCCGUCUGUAGCCCUGAGGCCCUCGUUUCCCAGCGGGUCGGGGAAGUAAGUGCAGACAAAGGUCAGCUCACAGUGGUGGCGGCGGGCGGUCCCUGAAGCUCCUGUGUCAGGCCCGGGCCCGGGACCUGAGGAUGUCACCGUGCUCAGACGCCAGGUUGUUGUAGACGGAGUGAUGGUCGUGCCCACCGUGCCCCGUGGACAGUCCCCGGUGGGGCCUGGACUCGAUUUGUGACUUUGGGGCAAAUCAGUGAACUCAGCUUAUGUCUCCUUGUUUGGUUUAUGGGACGAAGAGUAGGGUCGAGCCCGGCUGGGCACCUGGCGGCCUCUGCUGGUGGUCGGUCCUGCGCGUCCCCUCCUGGAGGUGCACGAGGACAGGUCCCGACCCCUGCCGGGGACAGCGGCAUCCUCGUCUCCAGCACGGGGGCCCCUUUGGGACCGUUGGGGAUCAGCCCACGAGCUGGCAACAACCCCAGGAGCCACGAGCACCUGCCCCGGCUGCACUCUAAAGGCAGUUGGCGUGUAAAAUCCUGACUUCGGUGCCGGCAGCCUUGGUGCUGGUCCACUCCCGCCGUGAAGCAGCCACACAGGACGUGUAGGCAGUGACGCAGGGCCGCUGGGCCUGGCCCCUCAGGGACCCCGUCCUCACCCCGCGGGGUGCACAGCCCCGGCGCCUCCCCACCAGCUCCGAGCCCCGAUCUCAUGGGACCAGAGUGUCGGCACAGCGGCAAGAGCACGUGGCGUCUCCCCGAGGGGAUCCGGCCUGCCACCAGGUCGCCCUCGAGGUCACCGCCUGCACCAGCGCUGCCGAGGGUAAGAGCAGAUGAAGCUUCAGAGCAUCGCGAUGCUCCUCGCCGCGACCUCCGCGCACACAGGAGCUGCUCGGUUCAGGAUUCUCCGUCGUCUCAGCGGGGCGGUGACCGCGUGCCGGCCCGGUGGCCGUCUGCCAACAAAAUUCUGAGCUGGUUAUAAAAUCAAAAGCGGAAUAAUUUCAUCGUGUCCAAGACGCCACCGGUUGUCCUUUAUUGGGUGAACCCCCGGGACACCUGAUGGUUGCGUCACGCACCCCACUUGUUCGGGGUUACAUGUGAGAGAACGUGCUCCAGGGCCCGUAGGAUGAGCUCAUGUGUCGUGCCACACGUGCCCCACCCACGUGGAAGCGUCUCCUCCACCCCAGGGCUCGGUCCAGUGCGUCCCCCGGGCAAGGCCCACGUUUCUCUGGCCCAGACGCCCCCACGGAGGAGGGUCCCUGGGUCCCUGGGCAUCGGCUUUCUUCGCAGCGGGACCACGGGGGCCCUUUCGAUGCAGGCGCGGCUGAAGCCACUGGGGCUGCGGGAGGUGGCACAGGCCAGGCGAAGGCUGGGAGGUGGACCCAGCCCGGGGCCAUUGCUCGCCCCUUAGGGAAGGAGAAGUGACGCCCCUAUACCUGUUGCAAAUUUUGCCGGGAUCCCGAGGCAGGAGCUGGGCCUUGGCCGCACGCGCCCAGGUGGGUCUCACGUGGGGUCCAGCCUUGCCUGUGGGGCCCGUUGGGGACCUUCGGAGCAUCCCGUGGCCACACUGUGGCCCGGCUGCCCCAGGAGCUGUGUAUCCACUGCCUGGGACCCCAACACGGCCCAGGGUUUGGCAUCGCUGCUCCGGGUGCUCCCCCUGCCUCCUCACGUCCCCACACAGCAGCCAGGACCCUUCACCACGAGCCCCAUCCUGUCGCCCUCCACCUCGACAUCUCUAAACAGGACCUGAGUGCAUUUAGGAUAAAACUCAGGCUUCGGCUCUGAAGGCUGCUCUUGGGAUGUGUCCAGGCCACCGCCAGCCUCCAGCAGGGGGUCCAGGGGCAACCUGGGGGGGGACCCAGGUGCCUGAGCGCCCUGGGCACCUGAGGACGGCCCAGGAGGCAGGAAGGAGGGGUCGGGGCAUCGCAGGGGAAGGGAGCAGACCCUCCGCCUGCAGAAUCUUCAAGCCUGAAGUGACAUGGAGCCAGGCCGGCGUCCCCUCCACGGAAAGGCUUGUCCCUGCUGUACCUUGGUCUCUGCCCACCCCCCGCCCCCCGCCCCAUGUCGGCAAACGCCUUGAGAGCUGGGGUCCUGCAGCUUGUCUGCUGGUUGGACCUUCUCCUCCUGCUCUCAGGGCUGCAGGCGCUCGUCUGCGACGUAGAAAGAAGGAAAGGGGGGCACUGAGGCGCCGGCCGGAGCGGAGCCGGAUGUACCCCCGGGACUGCCGGGGAGAAGCCGCCGUGACCUUGGAUUGGUACUAAGAACAGAGCGGCAUCAUUGGAGGGUUUUAAGCUCCAAGGGACACGAGCAGAUUAGCGCUUUGAGACCUACCCCUGCUGCACGAGGACGAUGGGUUGGAAAGACACUUCCUGAGGGCACAGGAUUUAAUUAAGAGACUUUAACAUUUUUUUAAUUGUAUUUUAGGAACUCAGGCAGGAAGGCAUGCGGGCAAAAAAGAUGAGCUCCAGCAGGCGGGGCCCCAAGA